RNAcentral lists this ribosomal RNA (787 nucleotides) under Acinetobacter sp.49AAIII. RNAcentral's name for it is "bacterial SSU rRNA". It matches the Rfam family "Bacterial small subunit ribosomal RNA", at positions 79 to 861 of the family's 1533-position model. Lineage: Bacteria; Pseudomonadati; Pseudomonadota; Gammaproteobacteria; Moraxellales; Moraxellaceae. The record is from RNAcentral.
CUUGCUACUUGACCUAGCGGCGGACGGGUGAGUAAUGCUUAGGAAUCUGCCUAUUAGUGGGGGACAACAUCUCGAAAGGGAUGCUAAUACCGCAUACGUCCUACGGGAGAAAGCAGGGGACCUUCGGGCCUUGCGCUAAUAGAUGAGCCUAAGUCGGAUUAGCUAGUUGGUGGGGUAAAGGCCUACCAAGGCGACGAUCUGUAGCGGGUCUGAGAGGAUGAUCCGCCACACUGGGACUGAGACACGGCCCAGACUCCUACGGGAGGCAGCAGUGGGGAAUAUUGGACAAUGGGGGGAACCCUGAUCCAGCCAUGCCGCGUGUGUGAAGAAGGCCUUUUGGUUGUAAAGCACUUUAAGCGAGGAGGAGGCUACCGAGAUUAAUACUCUUGGAUAGUGGACGUUACUCGCAGAAUAAGCACCGGCUAACUCUGUGCCAGCAGCCGCGGUAAUACAGAGGGUGCAAGCGUUAAUCGGAUUUACUGGGCGUAAAGCGCGCGUAGGUGGCCAAUUAAGUCAAAUGUGAAAUCCCCGAGCUUAACUUGGGAAUUGCAUUCGAUACUGGUUGGCUAGAGUAUGGGAGAGGAUGGUAGAAUUCCAGGUGUAGCGGUGAAAUGCGUAGAGAUCUGGAGGAAUACCGAUGGCGAAGGCAGCCAUCUGGCCUAAUACUGACACUGAGGUGCGAAAGCAUGGGGAGCAAACAGGAUUAGAUACCCUGGUAGUCCAUGCCGUAAACGAUGUCUACUAGCCGUUGGGGCCUUUGAGACUUUAGUGGCGCAGCUAACGCGAU